GGGUCGGAACUGGAGACCAGCGGAGAGGAUUGGGUCUCAGGGGUCGGGACCGGUCUGGAGGUUGAUCACUUAGGCUUGGAAAGCUAAGACAGGUGAUCAGGGGCUCGGAUUAGGAUUAACUUGGAAGAUUUGGGGUCGGUCGUCACAGUUUGAGACUGCUUGAUCAUAAUGUCACACUGAGUAAUGAAAGAGUCUAAUGAUGACAUGGUCUUGAUGUUGAACUUAUAUACAUAAAGUUGGAUCUAUGUUUGCUUAGAGUAAGUUGCAAAUGUAGACUGGUUAAUAAACUUAGAAUUUGAGCUAAAACUUGAAAGCAAGGACCUAAUGUAGUCGCUUUUGGGCAAAC
This 346-nucleotide long non-coding RNA is filed under the name Setaria viridis. RNAcentral's name for it is "long non-coding RNA (SVIR_LNC003441)". Lineage: Eukaryota; Viridiplantae; Streptophyta; Magnoliopsida; Poales; Poaceae. The record is from RNAcentral.